GAGUAAUAUCUGGGAAUCUACCCAAAAGAGGGGGAUAACUACUAGAAAUGGUAGCUAAUACCGCAUAAAGUUGAGAAACCAAAGUGGGGGACCUUUUAGGCCUCAUGCUUUUGGAUGAGCCCAGACGAGAUUAGCUUGUUGGUAAGGUAAAAGCUUACCAAGGCUUCGAUCUCUAGCUGGUCUGAGAGGAUAACCAGCCACACUGGAACUGAGACACGGUCCAGACUCCUACGGGAGGCAGCAGUGGGGAAUAUUGCACAAUGGGCGAAAGCCUGAUGCAGCUAUGCCGCGUGUAUGAAGAAGGCCUUAGGGUUGUAAAGUAC
This 323-nucleotide ribosomal RNA is filed under the name uncultured Buchnera sp. RNAcentral's name for it is "bacterial SSU rRNA". It matches the Rfam family "Bacterial small subunit ribosomal RNA", at positions 108 to 433 of the family's 1533-position model. The record is from RNAcentral. Lineage: Bacteria; Pseudomonadati; Pseudomonadota; Gammaproteobacteria; Enterobacterales; Erwiniaceae.